UUGGAGACCAUCCGUUUGGGUGGCAAAGAAGAACCAAUUGGAGGCCAUCAUAAAUUGUGUUUGUUACUUUGUCAAAUUUGAAAUUCCAUGCCUAAAAUCUCUAAUAUUUCCCUUCAGCAUCGUCAUUUACAAUUCCAUGAUCAAAGCACGUUCCUAAUCUGAAAGCCCAUUUGUUGCUUUGUCGAUUUAUAACACGAUGGGGGUGCAAGAAAAUGCCUGGGCGACAAGUUUACUUACCCUUUUGUGUUGAAGGCUUGCGCAAGUGAAUCAGCUAUAGACAAAGGGAGGGAGGUUCAUGGUGUGGUUGUGAGAGUUGGGUUUAUGGUGUAGUUAUGAGAGUUGGGUUUGAUUUCAAUAGGUUUUUGUGUAGUUCUUCGCUGAACUUGGUUUGUCAAAAAAUUGAGAGUGUAAGGCAGGUGUUUGAUGGAUUCACAGUGAAGGAUGUUGUUUUCUGGAAUACUAUGAAAAUGGGUUAUGCUCGAAACGGGAUGGGUUUUGAAGCAUCUGAUGGUUUUAGGGAGAUGGUGGAAGUGGGAGAGGUUAGACUGAAUGAAGGUGCAACUUUGGCAUUGAUAUCGACUUGCAUAUAUAGUAUCAGAAAACUUGAAAUUUGGGAGAGAGAUUCAUGAGUUUUUAGGAUAUAUGUGAGUUUUGGGUUGAGUGUGAAAGGGGGAGCUGCAUUGGUUGAUUUGUAUGCAAAUUUGGCUGUUUGGACUAUUAUGCAUAGAGUGUUUGAGGGAAAGCCUAAGAAGAAUGCUGUGGUGUGGAACACUUUGAUAAGUGGCUUUUCCUUUAACGGGCUUUCAAAUGAAGCAAUUGAUCUUUUCAGGGAAAUGUGUUGUUUGCAUGCAAAGCCCUAUAAUUUCAUGAUUUUAGGCUUGUUGUCUGCUUGUGCUCAAAUGGGUGCUGUUAAUAUAGGAAAUUUGGGUUCGAAUAGUCUGGGAUAUGUUUAUUGGUACAUCUUUGGUAGACCUGUAUGCAAAAUGUGGUUCUAUUGAAGCAACAAGAGAAGUGUUUGAUCAAAAGGAUAAGAAAACUGUUGCGACAUGGAACGCUAUUCUUUCUGGAUAGGCAUCAUAUGGGCAGGCUGGAUCUGCAAUGAAGCUUUCUGUUGAGAUGAGAAAAUCAAGUGCCAUCGUAGAUACAUAACCUUCCUUUCAAUUUUACAUGCUUGUGCACAUGCUGGUUUGGUUGGGAAAGGUAAGCAAUACUUUGAUUUGAUGGUGCAAAAUUAUAAGAUAGCUCCUAAAGUUGAGCACCAUGGCUGUAUGGUUGAUCUUCUUAGGCGCGCUGGAUUUCUAAAGAAGCAAAGAUGCUUAUUGAGAGGAUGGAUAGUGAACCAAAUGUAAUUGUAUGGGGAUCACUGUUUAAUGCUUGUAGCAUUCAUGGAUAUUAGGGUAGAGUGGGCGGCUGACCAUAUAUUUGACUUAGAAGCAAUAGGCAGGUGCUCCUACGUGCUGUUAGCAAAUAUGUAUGCUGCAACACGAAGGUGUGAUAGGGUAAAGCAAUUAGAGAGGCAAUGGUUAAUGCGAGUAUUUGUAAGCUACAUGGAUAUAGCAUAAUCGAGAUUGGAGAUGUAGGUCAUGAGUUUCUAGUUACUGACAAGGCACACCCUAAAUCAGAAGAGAUCUACUGGGUGUUGGAUGUAUUAAGCAACAAGCUCAAGAUGGCAGGCUCGAUGCGAUUGUCUGCUCUAGAUGAAGGGUAUCUGGAAAGCAGCCGAGCGACAAUGAACUCCUAGAGAGAUUUUCUAAAAAUGGGAAGAUCAGAAAAGGAGGGAAAGUGAUCGGAGCAGUUUCCUUUCUAGGGGCAUUUGGAUUUGUAUGGAACAUUCCAGAUUCCGGAGAUGGACACAUGAUCUCAAAGAGUAUUUGGAGAUUCAUUUCAAGAUGGCCUUCUAAUCCUUCAUGGAACAUGGUGUUAUUACAGAACAAUUUUAUUGUCAUUGACAUUUCGUUUAAGUGUUGCUGCCGAGGUCAGCAUUGUGAUUAAUGAAAAACUUGAGAAGGACAGAUCACUAUCCAAAAGCUCGAAAGAGGUGUGUGGACUGGAAACGAAAGGAGUAAAACCGUGGUUGAUACUGGGUUCUAAAUUAUCUAUAUGGUUGAUGAUGAAUUGAGAACUCAGAAGCAACCAUUCCAAUUGUUGUAUCUAUCAGGGAUCAUAUGCAACCAUUUAAAUUGGAAUUAUGGUUUUGAAUUGUGGGAAUCACAAGUUGAGGGACCAGAUGUGGCAGGCUGGCAGCUCUGUUAUACUUCAUGGGUGGUGCAAUCUUUCCUCAUAAUCCCAUUACAGUGAUUCUACGACUUGCAGUGUUUUACUCUCUUAUUCCCAUAUUUGUUUUAAGGAGGGAGGGGUCGACUCUUCGGAGUCUCCCUUGGGUGUCCUCCGCUUCGACAGAUUAACCUGCCAAAGAUCGCACCUAUCACAGGAUAUUACGGAGUUUGGUCCGUACCCCGUUAGCACUAAUGUCUGCCUAGCAUAGAUUGCAACCUCGCUUCCCGGCUGCCUACAUGGGUCUCUCUUAUAAAUAGUCAAGUUAAAUAAGAAGAUCAGUUAUCACUAUUUUCCUACUGAAACUCCCUCUUAUUCGGUUUCUCUCAAACUAUUUUUUACUUAGGCAUCGAAGGUCCUUUGGCAAACACCCUUCCCUUUUGGCGAAAAUUUGCAUUCACAAAACCAGUUAUGUGUAUCUUGCAUGAAGCAGUUGUUUUAUGAUUCACUUGCAUUUUUACUAAGAAUUGAUUCUAAAAGCACUUUUACGAAAAACGUUUUCAAUCAUUUUAAAAACAUUUUCUUACAAAAUUUAUGGAACAUCUGCUGUAUAUUUUAGCUAUGUAACCCCUGUGAAACCUUGGAGAUGAUUCUAACACACAAAAAGACAGAGAGGGGAAGGAAGAGACACGGUCGACGAGUAAGGGAUUUUAUCUAUUUAUUCUUUUAUGUAAAUGAUUGAGGCAUUGUGUGUCACAUUCGUCGGCAAACUAUAUCAAGAAAAAUAUAAAAGAAAAUCCGUAGACACUUGUACAAGAAUAUCGAAUCAUGCCUGCAAACGUGCUCUUAAAUUUAUAAGUUAAAUAAAAAAACAAAGCAAUCUUAAAUUUAUAAGUUAGAUAAAAAA
This is a long non-coding RNA of Pyrus x bretschneideri (Chinese white pear), 3121 nucleotides long. RefSeq lists it as uncharacterized. NCBI's taxonomy places the organism in Eukaryota, Viridiplantae, Streptophyta, Magnoliopsida, Rosales, Rosaceae. The record is from RefSeq and is a predicted model, not a curated record. The transcript has 4 exons.